UAUCGGCCUAUAUUCCCACCA
This 21-nucleotide non-coding RNA is filed under the name Arabidopsis thaliana (thale cress). The record is from RNAcentral. Lineage: Eukaryota; Viridiplantae; Streptophyta; Magnoliopsida; Brassicales; Brassicaceae.